AUAGGUAACCUAACAAGCCUGAUAACUUUGGAUCUGUACCAAAAUCAAUUUUCUGGGGUCAUUCCAGCAUCACUUGGAUACUUGCCUUCCUCGAGGUUUUUGAGAUUGAACAGUAACAAGCUUAUUGGCAAGAUACCAGUAGAGGUCCUCGAACUCGUUACCUAGGGAAAUUUGAGGAUUCUGAAUGUAUCAGACAACCUGCUGGUCGGGAGAGCCCACGGCACAAACACAACAGGAUUUGCAUAUACUUCUACAAUACAAGAUCCAAAAGCUCAGAAGUAAAAUUAGGACGAUAUGGCGACUACAGUACUGCCUGCUUGCAACCAUCCAGCUUUUAAAUAAAUUAGUAAUUUUGCUGGCAAUAAUAAAACUCUACGUUACUCUAUAUACAUGUUUUCCUGUUAUUUAUGUUAGUGUAUAUAUACAGAGAAAUGCUUGUUAAUUCUACUAAAAUACUGAACUUGGCAUGGGGCUAAUCUUUCCUUUUAUCUUCGACUUUGGGUGGGUGAAAAAGUAGCCCAGGCCCAAAUCUUAUGGACUGGACUU
Long non-coding RNA from Juglans microcarpa x Juglans regia, 546 nucleotides. RefSeq lists it as uncharacterized. The record is from RefSeq and is a predicted model, not a curated record. Lineage: Eukaryota; Viridiplantae; Streptophyta; Magnoliopsida; Fagales; Juglandaceae. The transcript is spliced from 4 exons.